AGUCUCAGUUCGGAUCGGAGUCUGCAACCCGACUCCGUGAAGCUGGAUUCGCUAGUAAUCGCGCAUCAGCCAUGGCGCGGUGAAUACGUUCCCGGGCCUUGUACACACCGCCCGUCACACCAUGGGAGUUUGUAACGCCCAAAGUCGGUGGCCUAACCUUUAUGGAGGGAGCCGCCUAAGGCGGGACAGAUGACUGGGGUGAAGUCGUAACAAGGUAUC
Molecule: ribosomal RNA, 219 nt
Filed under: uncultured bacterium
Lineage: Bacteria
Description: partial 16S ribosomal RNA
Rfam family: Bacterial small subunit ribosomal RNA
Source: RNAcentral